Non-coding RNA from Acanthosepion pharaonis, 110 nucleotides. The record is from the annotation of a GenBank genome assembly. NCBI's taxonomy places the organism in Eukaryota, Metazoa, Mollusca, Cephalopoda, Sepiida, Sepiidae.
CAGCCAUAUAAUAUUGAAAUACUGGUUUCCAUAUGACCACUGAAGUUAAGCAAUGGCAAGCCUAGUCAGUAGCUAGAUGGGUGACUGCUUGGAAAUACCAGGUGCUGUAA